UCCCCGUAGCACAUUAACUCGAGUAGAGGUGUAACCAAGCUGAAUUUGAAAUUAAUUAGGAGUUGCAAAAGUUGACAUGCAGCUUGGUUUGUUUAUCAUUAUUUCAAGCUUUAUUUCAAACUGAGCACAAUCAAAGCAUUGAUCAAUUUAAAAAUCCUAAAUCAAUCUAAAAAAAAUUCAAGCUUGCGCACGCGCACGCACACAUAUCAAUUUUGUGAUGUGCUUGAUCGACACUGGUCUAUUUUUGACUUCGCUUAAAAUUAAUUUCAAGCCCAGGUAGCUGGAUCAAGCUUGGUUUAUUUAGCUUGGAACCAAGCUCGAUCCGUUCGGAUC
RNAcentral lists this long non-coding RNA (333 nucleotides) under Elaeis guineensis (African oil palm). RNAcentral's name for it is "long non-coding RNA (EGUI_LNC068428)". The record is from RNAcentral. Lineage: Eukaryota; Viridiplantae; Streptophyta; Magnoliopsida; Arecales; Arecaceae.